RNAcentral lists this non-coding RNA (85 nucleotides) under Bacillus coahuilensis. RNAcentral describes it as "c-di-GMP-II sequence". It matches the Rfam family "Cyclic di-GMP-II riboswitch aptamer". Lineage: Bacteria; Bacillati; Bacillota; Bacilli; Caryophanales; Bacillaceae. The record is from RNAcentral.
UUGCAAUGAGGAAUGCUACGACCCUAAAUUAGUACUUGGGCGCUUUGAUUUAGGAUAGCUAAUAGCGCAACCGGCCACAUUGAGA